Molecule: non-coding RNA, 71 nt
Organism: Podarcis lilfordi (Lilford's wall lizard)
Lineage: Eukaryota; Metazoa; Chordata; Lepidosauria; Squamata; Lacertidae
Source: the annotation of a GenBank genome assembly
GAUCUGUGGCUCAGUGGCAGAGCAGCUGCUUGGCCUGCAGAAGGUCACUGGUUCAAUCCCCGGGAAAGUCA